RNAcentral lists this ribosomal RNA (371 nucleotides) under uncultured bacterium. Its description in RNAcentral is "bacterial SSU rRNA". It matches the Rfam family "Bacterial small subunit ribosomal RNA", at positions 525 to 896 of the family's 1533-position model. The record is from RNAcentral.
ACAGGCGUGGCAAGCGUUACUCGGAAUUAUUGGGUGUAAAGGGCAGGUAGGUGGCCCGGUAAGUGAGAGGUGAAAUCCUGCGGUUCAAUCGCAGAACUGCCUUUCAAACUGCCAGGCUUGAGAAUGAUAGAGGAAGAUGGAAUUCCUGGUGUAAGGGUGAAAUCUGUAGAUAUCAGGAAGAACACCAACGGCGAAGGCAAUCUUCUGGGUCAUUUCUGACACUGAGCUGCGAAAGCUAGGGGAGCAAACAGAAUUAGAUACUCUGGUAGUCCUAGCCGUAAACGAUGAAUACUAGGUGUUAGCCCCUUCGGGGGUUGGCGCCGAAGCUAACGCAUUAAGUAUUCCACCUGGGGACUACGGUCGCAAGGCUA